UGGGGAAUUUUGGACAAUGGGCGAAAGCCUGAUCCAGCAAUGCCGCGUGUGUGAAGAAGGCCUUCGGGUUGUAAAGCACUUUUGUCCGGAAAGAAAUCCUUGGCUCUAAUACAGUCGGGGGAUGACGGUACCGGAAGAAUAAGCACCGGCUAACUACGUGCCAGCAGCCGCGGUAAUACGUAGGGUGCAAGCGUUAAUCGGAAUUACUGGGCGUAAAGCGUGCGCAGGCGGUUUGCUAAGACCGAUGUGAAAUCCCCGGGCUCAACCUGGGAACUGCAUUGGUGACUGGCAGGCUAGAGUAUGGCAGAGGGGGGUAGAAUUCCACGUGUAGCAGUGAAAUGCGUAGAGAUGUGGAGGAAUACCGAUGGCGAAGGCAGCCCCCUGGGCCAAUACUGACGCUCAUGCACGAAAAGCGUGGGGAGCAAACAGGAUUAGAUACCCUGGUAGUCCACGCCCUAAACGAUGUCAACUAGUUGUUGGGGAUUCAUUUCCUUAGUAACGUAGCUAACGCGUGAAGUUGACCGCCUGGGGAGUACGGUCGCAAGAUUAAAACUCAAAUGAAUUGACGGGGUCAU
This 575-nucleotide ribosomal RNA is filed under the name uncultured bacterium. RNAcentral describes it as "partial 16S ribosomal RNA". It matches the Rfam family "Bacterial small subunit ribosomal RNA", at positions 355 to 922 of the family's 1533-position model. The record is from RNAcentral.